AACGCACAUUGCGCCCCUUGGUAUUCCGAGGGGCAUGCCUGUUCGAGCGUCAUUGCAACCCCUCAAGCUCAGCUUGGUGUUGGGGCCUGCCGCGUUGGCAGCCCUUAAAAUCAGUGGCGGUGCCAUCUGGCUCUAAGCGUAGUAAUUCUUCUCGCUACAGGGUCCUGGUGAGCGCUUGCCAUAAGCCUAUAUUUUCUAUGGUUGACCUCGGAUCAGGUAGGGAUACCCGCUGAACUUAA
This 239-nucleotide unclassified non-coding RNA is filed under the name uncultured fungus. Its description in RNAcentral is "partial contains 5.8S ribosomal RNA, internal transcribed spacer 2, and large subunit ribosomal RNA". The stretch from base 1 to 52 matches the Rfam family "5.8S ribosomal RNA", at positions 103 to 154 of the family's 154-position model. The record is from RNAcentral. Lineage: Eukaryota; Fungi.